Molecule: ribosomal RNA, 453 nt
Filed under: uncultured bacterium
Lineage: Bacteria
Description: bacterial SSU rRNA
Rfam family: Bacterial small subunit ribosomal RNA
Source: RNAcentral
AAUCAACGCUGGCGGCGUGCCUAACACAUGCAAGUCGAACGAGAAAGUGGAGCAAUCCAUGAGUAAAGUGGCGCACGGGUGAGUAACACGUGACUAACCUACCCUUGAGUGGGGGAUAACCUAGGGAAACCUGGGCUAAUACCGCAUAAUACCUACGGGUCAAAGGAGCAAUUCGCUUUAGGAGGGGGUCGCGGCAGAUUAGUUAGUUGGCGGGGUAAUGGCCCACCAAGACGAUGAUCNGUAUCCGGCCUGAGAGGGCGCACGGACACACUGGAACUGAAACACGGUCCAGACUCCUACGGGAGGCAGCAGUGGGGAAUUUUGCGCAAUGGGGAAACCCUGACGCAGCAACGCCGCGUGGAGGAUGAAGACCCUUGGGUCGUAAACUCCUUUCGAUCGGGACGAUAAUGACGGUACCGGAAGAAGAAGCCCCGGCUAACUUCGUGCCAGCAG